GAUCAUAUGUCAUGUGGUUUGUGCAACCACUGUCCACGAGCCAGCUUUCAGAGGUGCUUCCGUUUGCAAAACAUGUUGCUGAAAAUAGUUGCUCCUCUUGGUAUUGUUCAGCUGCUACAUUGUUUUCUCCCUGCUGCUGUUGAGUUCUACAGAUCCUUUCUAUGUGUCCCUGUCUACCACAUUUGUUGCAUUUCACAUCUGG
RNAcentral lists this long non-coding RNA (202 nucleotides) under Vitis vinifera (wine grape). RNAcentral describes it as "long non-coding RNA (VVIN_LNC004207)". The record is from RNAcentral. Lineage: Eukaryota; Viridiplantae; Streptophyta; Magnoliopsida; Vitales; Vitaceae.